RNAcentral lists this microRNA precursor (186 nucleotides) under Oryza rufipogon (brownbeard rice). Its description in RNAcentral is "MIR812 microRNA precursor family". It matches the Rfam family "MIR812 microRNA precursor family". Lineage: Eukaryota; Viridiplantae; Streptophyta; Magnoliopsida; Poales; Poaceae. The record is from Rfam by way of RNAcentral.
CCCCCGUCCCAUUUUAAGUGUGUUCAAUGUUUGUUCGUCCGUCUUAUUUAAAAUAAUUUUCUGAUUAGUAUUUUUAUUGUUGUUAGAUGAUAAAAAUAAAUAGUACUUUAUAUGUGACUUAUUUUUUUAUAUUUUUUUUCAAAUAAUACAAAUGGUCAAACGUUGGACACAGAAAAAACACAUGGG